UCGACUAAAACAUCUGAAAAAGUGACUAAAGUGUCGAAAAAGACAACCAAAACAUUGAAAAAAAAGAUUGAAAUUUUGACCCAGAAAAACAAAAAGUUGCAUGGUCAACCGCAAGACAACACAAGGAUUAACCUAAUCUUCCUUUUUAACUUAAUCUCACUUUACUUCUACGUGACGUUUUUAUUUCUUACUGCAGCUAUGUUACUUUAUAUAUUUAUAUACUUAUUGAUUUGCUCUUUUCUUACUCUUAUUUUACCUUGAAUUUGACUGUGAGCAAAUGCAACUAAACAAUUUCCCUACGGGGAUCAAUAAAGUAAUCUGAUUCAGAUUGUGCCCAUUGUAAAAACAAAAUGUUUGUUAUGUAUGUACAUAGGGGCGUGAGGGUUUGAGUACACACUUACCGAGCCCUUUCCGUGAGUCUGCAUCGAUGCAGACUUCACCAAAGGGAAUUACCCACAGUUCAAAGCAUUGUGACGUUUACCGCGGAGACCAUAGGGAAAUCCGGAAAUUGCAAAAGGUAAACAACAGCACGACACACGACCACAGAACUGACCAACCUGUUGUCCAGCUUGAAAACAAGAGCCGUCUCCUGUGCCUUG
Long non-coding RNA from Sander lucioperca (pikeperch), 599 nucleotides. RefSeq lists it as uncharacterized. NCBI's taxonomy places the organism in Eukaryota, Metazoa, Chordata, Actinopteri, Perciformes, Percidae. The transcript is spliced from 3 exons. The record is from RefSeq and is a predicted model, not a curated record.